AGUGAACGCUGGCGGUAGGCCUAACACAUGCAAGUCGAACGGCAGCACAGGAGAGCUUGCUCUCUGGGUGGCGUGUGGCGGACGGGUGAGGAAUACAUCGGAAUCUACUCUGUCGUGGGGGGUAACGUAGGGAAACUUACGCUAAUACCGCAUACGACCUACGGGUGAAAGCAGGGGACCUUCGGGCCUUGCGCGAUUGAAUGAGCCGAUGUCGGUUUAGCUAGUUGGCGGGGUAAAGGCCCACCAAGGCCACGAUCCGUAGCUGGUCUGAGAGGAUGGUCAGCCACACUGGAACUGAGACACGGUCCAGACUCCUACGGGAGGCAGCAGUGGGGAAUAUUGGACAAUGGGCGCAAGCCUGAUCCAGCCAUACCGCGUGGGUGAAGAAGGCCUUCGGGUUGUAAAGCCCUUUUGUUGGGAAAGAAAUCCAGCUGGCUAAUACCCGGCUGGGAUGACGGUACCCAAAGAAUAAGCACCGGCUAACUUCGUGCCAGCAGCCGCAGUAA
Molecule: ribosomal RNA, 506 nt
Filed under: uncultured bacterium
Lineage: Bacteria
Description: partial 16S ribosomal RNA
Rfam family: Bacterial small subunit ribosomal RNA
Source: RNAcentral